UUCCGGUUGAUCCCGCCGGAGGCUACCGCUAUUGGAGUUCGAUUAAGCCAUGCGAGUCGAGAGUCUUAGGGACUCGGCGUACCGCUCAGUAACACGUGGGUAACCUGCCCUAUGCUGGGGGAUAACCUCGGGAAACUGAGAAUAAUACCCCAUAGUUCACCACGCCUGGAACGGUGGGUGGAUGAAAGCUCCGGCGGCAUAGGAUGGGCCUGCGGCGUAUCAGGUUGUAGGGGGUGUAAUGUACCCUCUAGCCAUCUACGCGUACGGGUGUUGGGAGACAUCGCCCGGAGAUGGAUUCUGAGACACGAAUCCAGACCCUACGGGGUGCAGCAGGCGCGAAAACUUGGCAAUGCGAGCAAUCGUGACCAGGGAACUCCAAGUGCAUCGGGUAAGACCGAUGCUUUUCUUGACUCUUCAAAGGUCUUGGAAUAAGGGGUGGGUAAGGACGGUGCCAGCCGCCGCGGUAAUACCGGCGCCUCAAGUGGUAGUCGCUUUUAUUGGGCCUAAAACGUCCGUAGCCGGUUUGGUACAUUCGUGGGUAAAUCAAGGCGCUCAACGUCUUGAAUUCUGCGAGCACGGCCAGACUUGGGACCGGGUGAGGUGUGGGGUACUCUCAGGGUAGGGGUAAAAUCCUGUCAUCCUGAGAGGACCACCUGUUGCGAAGGCGCCACACUAGAACGGAUCCGACGGUCAGGGACGAAGCCUAGGGGCACGAACCGGAUUAGAUACCCGGGUAGUCCUAGGUGUAAACGCUGUGGACUUGAUGUUGGGAGUGCUCCGAGCACCCUCAGUGUCGAAGCGAAGGUGAUAAGUCCACUGCCUGGGGAGUACGGUCGCAAGGCUGAAACUUAAAGGAAUUGGCGGGGGAGCACUGCAACCUGAGGAUUGUGCGGUUUAAUUGGAUUCAACGCCGG
Molecule: ribosomal RNA, 914 nt
Filed under: uncultured marine archaeon
Lineage: Archaea
Description: bacterial SSU rRNA
Rfam family: Archaeal small subunit ribosomal RNA
Source: RNAcentral